AGAGUUUGAUCCUGGCUCAGGACGAACGCUGGCGGCGCGCUUAACACAUGCAAGUCGAGCGAUGAAAUUUUAACAGAACCCUUCGGGGCGAAGAUAAAAUGGAUUAGCGGCGGACGGGUGAGUAACACGUGAGUAACCUGCCUUAGACAUUGGGAUAGCCUCGGGAAACCGGGAUUAAUACCGAAUAACAUCACAUAGACACAUGUCAUUGUGAUCAAAACUCCGGUGGUCUAAGAUGGACUCGCGUCCCAUUAGCUAGUUGGUAAGGUAACGGCCUACCAAGGCGACGAUGGGUAGCCGGCCUGAGAGGGUGAACGGCCACAUUGGAACUGAGAAACGGUCCAAACUCCUACGGGAGGCAGCAGUGGGGAAUAUUGCACAAUGGGGGAAACCCUGAUGCAGCGACGCCGCGUGAACGAAGAAGGCUUUCGAGUCGUAAAGUUCUUUUAUAUGGGAAGAUAAUGACGGUACCAUAAGAAAAAGCCCCGGCUAACUACGUGCCAGCAGCCGCGGUAAUACGUAGGGGGCUAGCGUUGUCCGGAAUCACUGGGCGUAAAGGGUUCGCAGGCGGAAAUGCAAGUCAGAUGUAAAAGGCAGUAGCUUAACUACUGUAAGCAUUUGAAACUGCAUAUCUUGAGAAGAGUAGAGGUAAGUGGAAUUUUUAGUGUAGCGGUGAAAUGCGUAGAUAUUAAAAAGAAUACCGGUGGCGAAGGCGACUUACUGGGCUCAUUCUGACGCUGAGGAACGAAAGCGUGGGUAGCAAACAGGAUUAGAUACCCUGGUAGUCCACGCUGUAAACGAUGAGUGCUAGGUGUCGGCGUAAGUCGGUGCCGCAGUUAACACAAUAAGCACUCCGCCUGGGGAGUACGUGCGCAAGCAUGAAACUCAAAGGAAUUG
This 897-nucleotide ribosomal RNA is filed under the name human gut metagenome. RNAcentral's name for it is "bacterial SSU rRNA". It matches the Rfam family "Bacterial small subunit ribosomal RNA", at positions 8 to 912 of the family's 1533-position model. The record is from RNAcentral.